GUGCUCGCUUCGGCAGCACAUAUACUAAAAUUGGAACGAUAUAGAGAAGAUUAGCAUGGCCCCUGUGCAAGGAUGACACACAAAUUCGUGAAGCAUUUCAUAUUUAA
This 107-nucleotide small nuclear RNA is filed under the name Tupaia belangeri chinensis (Chinese tree shrew). The record is from RNAcentral. Lineage: Eukaryota; Metazoa; Chordata; Mammalia; Scandentia; Tupaiidae.